Poecilia latipinna (sailfin molly) is the source of this 5940-nucleotide long non-coding RNA. RefSeq lists it as uncharacterized. The transcript is spliced from 2 exons. Lineage: Eukaryota; Metazoa; Chordata; Actinopteri; Cyprinodontiformes; Poeciliidae. The record is from RefSeq and is a predicted model, not a curated record.
UGACACCUGAUGAUUUAUGGCAGUGUUUUAUAAUCUGCUGGUGGUCUACUCACAGGAAAUGUAGUUAUGUGAGUCCGUCAGAUGAUGCCUCCCAGCAAGAAGUCGCUCAGACGUGUUCUGGUUUGAUCAGAGUUUCCAGUCUGCCAUUUUUAAUAAACCUCAACUGGCUAAUAAUCAUUGGAAGCCUGGGUGGUGUCAUAUGAAUUUUUUAGAACAUAAUGUUCAAUUAAAUUAUACUCAUGGCAUUAUUUAUGUCCACAUUUAAUCUAAAUUCAAACUAUUUAAAGACAUAAACUGAUAUCCAGUGAUGAUGUAUGUGGGUAGAAAAUGGUUUUGUAUGGAGAGAGGUGGAUGGGAAAACUGAAAAGAAUAGAGCUGUAAUAAAUAUGAAAAUGUAUAUUCAAACUACAUAUUUUGCAGAUUUUUCAAAGCUUCACAGGAAUCCUUGUUUAAGUACAUUUUCAUGAAUCAUAAUCCAAAAAUGUCUCCAACUACAAAAUGCCCUACUUACAGUCUUACAUACACAUUUCUUGAUUCAGAUAACUCAUUAAAGACUACCCAAGAACUCCUCUUACUUUGAAUAACAUGUGAAGAGCUGAGACUAAUAUUUCACUUUGUUCUUUAAAUUCUGUCUGCUGCUGUGAAAAUAUGCCCCAACAAAACUGUCAUAGAUUAACUUUUCUUUCUUCUGACUGGAAACCAGGACGAAACGCCAACCCUCCCUUCCCCUUUCAAUUUCCAUUACAAAACAGGCUCUAUCUGUUCGACUGCAGGAACACAGUGGUGAAUACAAUAUAUUUGAUUUGAGAUUAUAGACACCGGAACCUUUUCUGAGAGGAAAUAAGCUUGGAAAUGGAGCAGUUGAAACUCAAGCGUAAUGUCUCGCAGAACAAGUUGACGUCUGACAUCUGGCUUCAAGCGUAGAGCUUCGCGUCGUCGGCGUCUCUGUCCAUUGUGGAGCGGCAGACGAUUCGGUCUGAAGAGCAAACCAAACCCCAAAUUUGUAGAACUCCUUUGGGGGCCGCUCGCCCUUUUACACGGGUCAAUCUGCGAGACAUUAAUCUCAGUCGGUGUUUAUGUAAUUAUCGGACUGCUGUUAUCGUCUGUUAGUCAGGAAAGGGUUCCUGUUAGAUCCACUUUGCCAAACGCCAACAAAAGGCGACCAAACAGCCAAAAAAAGAAGUGCUCUCAGCAAUCAUUGCCUCUGUUUCUCCUUCAUUCUUUGAAAGCUACGCAGCAGCUGCUUUAUUCUGCACAGUUUUAAUCUCUUCUGUUCUUGUGAUCAGUGUGUGCCGAUUACUCAAAGCGAUACAGGUGGGGUCUGGCAUGCUAGGUUUAGCCAUGGAUGGUGAAAGUCUUUUAUUGCUAUACGAUGUAGUGCUGCUUGCUAUCUGUGACAUGUUGGCCAGGACCCUACUCUAUCGCUUUGUACAGUAUAAAGUAGUUUAAAGAAGUUGAAUAACAUAAAAUAACAUAUUACAAUGUUAUUUAUGUUAUUUCCCACGUGAAGAACUCCUGUAAACCUUGCAGUAUUGAAACUCAGUGAACAAGGCAUCUUAGACAAGCUGAAAAACAAAUGGUGGUACGAUAAGGGUGAAUGUGGAACCAAGGACUCUGGAAGUAAGGUCAGUCGCUGCAGGUCUUCUUAUACUGAUGGCAAAAAUGCAUUUUACCUUCACUGUUCAUAUGCAGACAUGUAGCGCAUACAUCCUCAGACAUGUUGGCAUGAAACACAGUCAUGGAGACUAGAUUACCUUCACACACCGCAGCUUAGGGUAUUUACACAACAGGGCAUUGAUGCUUUACUUUUAACUCCACGCCAUUACCUCUCUGUGCAGACACAUAAAACUGCAGCAUGAUUACACACAGUUUGUAUUCACCCCAUUAAACUCUUAAAAAGUUUAACGACAAGAACUGAAACCAUUAUACUGCUGUUUCUCAUCCAAACUGCUAUUGAAAUUUAGUUUGCUGUUGGUCUUAUUCAUUUGUAUGUGGAGUUGUUGUUAAACCCUUUGACAAAAAAAGGAAGAAAAAAAAAACUUGGGCUGCUGUGCAGAAUGUUCCAAAACUGAACUAAAACCAGAAAUUCAUUAUAAUUACAAGUAAUUAACAUAGCAACAUGUUUUAUGAAAAGAAGGACAAGUAAUGUUUAGUGGUAUUUUCAAUAUGGAGGAUGGCGGUGGUUGCCCAGGGUGGCAUCAAAGAUGGGGCACAGAUUUUUGGAUAUGCUUAUUCCUACAGAUGUGGAUCUAUCAAAAAAAAAAAUCCUUCCUCUAAGCAGUGAGAUUUUUUUUUUAUAACUGGGGUAUUUUAUGUGUGAAAAGAUCACAACUGAAACACUCCACGAAACAAGAACGUGGGUUCAUAUCACUCCAGCUCAGGCAGGUAAAACGUUAGGUGAGAGAAUCUAGCUUUAACCGUUUUUUCAAAGGUACAGUUGCGAGGUCAAACACUGAUGUUGGACAAAAAGGCCUGGCCCAAGAUCCUGACACUGUUGGGUUAGUGUCAGGACUCAAAUCAAGUUCUUUCAUAAAAUCCUCACUCAUUUAUGUCUUUAUGGACCUUGCCUAGUUGACUGAAACUUCAACAUAUUUGAGAGAUUUUCUUAGAAUUUCUGCCAAUUUUCUCUUUAAAGUUGUAUUUGUCCUCAGUUAGAAAGACUUAACAUGGCACAAAUUACAUAAAAUUAACAGAAAGACCUUCUGCUUAAACUUUCCAGUUGAGUGUUUUCUUGUCGUUGAAACCCCGGGUGUAGUUGCUUUGGAAGAGGCAGAGACCAUCUCCAAACUGUUCCCCCCUAAGCUAGCCUAAAACUCUCCAGAAUGUCUUGGUGUGGUAAAGCAUUAGGAGCCCCUUUUCGUUGGAAACUUUCUCCACUGCUCUAGUAAAUGGACAUUUACACAGCAUCCAAAAAAACCUAAGUUGUCUUCCACCCAAUGGCACGACUCUUUGCUUUGCACUUGGAUGUAGACCAAGUUUGGAUGCAGCUGUUGGUCCAUGAAGUUCUUUACACUAGCAGUCGACUUCUGACUGUCAAGAAGUGAGGAAAUUCACCAAAGCCCUAACUGCACAUCCAAUUAGACUACCAUGAUGGGAUUUACUGAACUUCAGAGAACAAUCCAUCUGUUCCCAAAUGCUUGUAGAAUUAGUCUGCAUAUCUAGAUGUUUGAUUUUAUCAACCUGGGAGGGACUGAAAGACCUGAUUUCAGUGAUUUGGAUCGGUCCUUUCCCAAUGACACAACUGUCACCAAAAAUAGUUCUGCAAUGCAACCUCAUGUGUAUUUGCACACUAAUGCUUCACUGAGCUGCCUCUGGUAUUUAUGAAUAAAUCAGGAAGAAAGGCAGCAACUUUGUUACUCUGAUAAAACGCAGUUUGUGAAAUGAAGGACCAUUUUUUUAGCCUGUCUCUUCUUUUUGAUAUGUUGCUGAAAAUUUCUUCAAGCUAUUUUCAACAAUCAUUAUGUUAUUGAAAAAGCAAAAAUAAGUUAAAUUCAUUCUUUUUCUGCAUUUUGUGCAGCUGCCCUUGUUUGAACACAGAAAAAGCCAUUGUUGCCCUGACAAAACCAAAGUGACCCCUUAAAUAGCAAGUAAGUGGCCAGGGGGGUAUUUAAUGGUCAUGAUGGAUUGUCAGAGUAACAAACUUUUUUUUUAAUGCAUUUUCAAUUAUAAAAUAACUAGUUUGUAUACAAAAGUAAUCUGACUUUUACCACAUAAAAGCAGAUUUAACUGGUUUUGGAACCGUUCCAUUGGGUUUCAAUGCAAAUGGUGACACUUGCAGAAAUGAAUUUCAAUCUUACCGUUUGGCUUUUAAAAGCAGCAAAAUGGUUCAGUUCCCCUUUCUUACAGCUUGCUACUCUGACUGUACAGAUGCAGUGUUGUCAAGGUUGAGUUCAGCAGCUAUGGUAGUGAACUGAAGCUAAUCUGUAGACCUGUACGACCACGACCGCCUUCCUCUAUGCGUGGCCUCGUAAAGAGACCGCAAAGCAGGAUAGUCGACAAGUCUCUCUACAUUCACCUUGUCAGGGAUUUUUUUUUUCCUUUUUUAUUUUGAUUAAGAGGAGGAGGUCUGUAGAUGUACUGUUUUUAGUCAGAUUAGGCUUCAGGAUGUCUAUACACACAUUUAGCGACCUCCUCAGAGUAGCUGCUAGUGACAGAGUAGCAGUGUUCAUGUUGGUUUUGUGCCUCUCAGUGUCCGUUUAAAACCCCUUAAUGGUGGUCUGUACCUCCCCCAGGACAAGACAAGUGCAUUGAGCCUGAGCAACGUGGCAGGCGUCUUCUAUAUUCUGGUCGGGGGGCUCGGCUUGGCUAUGACCGUUGCUUUGAUAGAGUUCUGCUAUAAGUCACGGCAGGAAACAAAAAAACUCAAGCUGGCGAAGAACGCCCAAAACUUUAAGCCAGCCCCCCCAGCAAACGCCCAGAAUUUUGCCACAUACCGUGAAGGCUACAACGUCUACGGGACGGAGAGCGUGAAAAUCUAAAGGGUGAUUCUUAAGCCCCACUGGUGCAUAAAGGAUAGAAAGAGCCACUCCGACACGUGACCCAUGACCCCGACAACCCUCCACCCCUCGAAGGUGGGCAAUCCUGGAAGCGACGCCUUCCUCGUCAUCAGCUUGGACUCAAGCCAACAAGUCAACAAGUGCUCAUUUGGGGUUAUGAACCGUCACACUGACAGAGGGCAAUCACACGCAUCUGGACUUCUGUUUGUGGGAACAUGGGAAUUGCCUCUUUUUGUGCCUUAAGGAGCAUUUUGGCGUCAUGGCAAUGCAGAUAAAAUUAAAUUAACUUGAUAAACACAGAACAAAAAAAAAUGUAAAAAAAAUGGCGGCGAUUGGAUAAGAAACGGCUUCAUGUAGAUGGACUGAUGUAAUUACUGUUUUAUAUUUUGAAGACGACAAAAAAAAAAAAAAAAAAAGCCAUGGUUUGCAAUGAAAUCCCUGAGGUACUUAAGUAAUUUAAAUCCUUUAAAGAGAUAUUUUUGUGGUGAAACCUUAAGUUGGAUAAAUGUUAUGUUUAGUGAGGUAAAGUCCUUCUCUUGUGUUAUAAGGAUAUUUCCAGUGUCGGAACAUUUAGGACAAGCAUCAGUAACAAUAAUAAGGCUAAGGAUCAGUUGAACUGGCAGCAUUUUCUACCAGUUUUUGUUUUUACUCCAACUUCAACACGUCAUGCUUGUGUACAUCUGAAACAGCUGGGAUGAUGUUUGUUUCAUAGCCUGCUGGACAUCCAACCUACUCUGUAUUUACUUGGAUGCUUGUUUUAAAUCAAGUAUGUCAUUUGUUUAAAACUGCCACUUUUUUUGGGGGGGGGUAGGGGGUGAAGACAUUUCUACCAAAGAGGUUGGCUUGUUUUCAACUUGGCGCCGCGUUACUGAGAUCGAGACAAUUCCCAACUCUUUAGACGAAAAGGGGGGGAAAAAAAAAGACCCCGUUUUACGUAACAAAGCAUUGAAGUCGAUUUUAAAAGAGCUCAUGGUUUACACUUUGUACACACGCCAGCACUGCUCUCGUAUAGGUGCGGUUUCAUCAGUUUUGGUAAACGGCGCUGUGCCGUAGCUUCUUUUGGUCGCGAUGAGCUUCCUGUGCAUUUCGCAGAGGCCGCGCGACGAAUCCAACAUUUGUACGACUAAAACUCUGCAGUCCGCAGGGAGAGGCUGACAUUACAAACCAUUUGCGCCUACACUUGUUUGAUAACUCUUUCUCAUCCUUUUCAUAAAGUGCAUGUGAAUUUGGUGGUAGUUUAAUCAAAUAGCAACUCCAAACGGACCCGGUUUAGUCGGCUCUAAAAUGACUUAUUCCAGUUUGAGUUUAGGGAGGGGGGGUAUUUUUGGGUUAAUUUAUUGAUACCUCAACCGUGAGAGUUGCAUGUAUGGACACAAGCCUCUGUGUAGAGGUCCUGUACAAAGGAUUUUAUUACAUUUCCUUAAUAAAAGAAGAUUUAUAUUCA